UCAAACUUGGUCAUUUAGAGGAAGUAAAAGUCGUAACAAGGUCUCCGUUGGUGAACCAGCGGAGGGAUCAUUACCGAGUUUAGUUACUCUCCUACCCUAUGCGAACAUACCUAUUUCAGUUGCUUCGGCGGGUGGUCCCAGGCCCUUCCGGGGGUCCGGGGCGCUCGCGCCCGCCGGAGGUUUUCUCAAACUCUGUUCUUGCGAAAGCAACGUCUCUCUCUGAGUGGUCUAAGCAAAUAAUCAAAACUUUCAACAAUGGAUCUCUUGGUUCUGGCAUCGAUGAAGAACGCAGC
RNAcentral lists this unclassified non-coding RNA (293 nucleotides) under uncultured fungus. RNAcentral describes it as "partial contains small subunit ribosomal RNA, internal transcribed spacer 1, and 5.8S ribosomal RNA". The stretch from base 1 to 73 matches the Rfam family "Eukaryotic small subunit ribosomal RNA", at positions 1759 to 1831 of the family's 1831-position model. The record is from RNAcentral. Lineage: Eukaryota; Fungi.